CCCCGUACACAGUUGUAUAUCUUAGUUGCAGGUCCUUCCAGUUGUGGGAUGUGGGACGCCACCUAAACGCGGCCUGAGGAGCGGUGCCAUGUCUGCGCCCAGGAUCCGAACCCUGGGCCGCCGUAGCAGAGCACGUGAACUUAACCACUCGGCCACGGAGCCGGUCCCUCAGAACUUAUUCUUGAAAGAACAGUUCCUCAAGAAGCAUUAUUAUAUAGUUGCAAUAGAAGUUUUCAAAUUGUUUAUAAUCCCAUUAUUUUCCAUUAAUGACUAAAAUCAUUUAUUCUCAGAAAAUUUUGGAAAUUUGUAUCAAUUUCUGGUACUUUCUAUACUUUCAGAAAAUACAAUAGCUUGUUAGCGAAUACAAGCAUCUCAUUUUUAUUAAGAUAAUUUCGUGACCCAAUUCUAUAUUUUCACAAAUGCCAGCAAUGUGAAUAUCAUAAAGCCAUUCAUGUAGCCCACACACAUUUGUAAGGAGAAUACUCUUACCCUCUUUUUUCUCUCCCACACCAAAUAGCAAGGCAUGACUGUGUCUGAAAAGUUGAAAGCAUUUGCUUACAAAAUGUCAUUUAAUCUAAAACUGUGUCAGUUCCUCUCCUCCCUAGAGCUUAGAAAGUUAACAAGUGUUUGGUUAUGAUCUCAAGGUUUUAAUUGCAGAAACAGAAUCAGUGUAAUUUCAGAGAGCAGCCGACAGGUGUGGAAUUUCUCUUUUCAGUCCUUGUUACUAUCAACAAAAGUUAGGGAACUCCCUGCAUUAUUAAUUCAUAUAGAGUUUAACUGAAGGCCUGUAGCUUUACUUGAGUAAUACUGCCCAGCAAACGUAUUGGGCAGUAUUUAAGAUAUUGCAAGAUAACAACCAUGCCAUUAUUCCUGUGCCUCAUGAAAGAAGUCUCCAGACGGCAAAGCCAGGCUUAAAUAACUUCUGAAGGUGGAAGAAGGGCCAGUCUACAUUAUAGUAAUCUAAAUGGCCCUUUCAAUUUAAUAAUGUGCUGCUAACGUGAGUAAGCAUGCUACUGCCAUCCACUAUUGGGGACAGAGAUCUGCAAGCUUCACCAGUUUCCAGAAAAAAAGUUCCAGCAAACUAGUUAGGGAUCCUAAUUUUGUUUUGAAAUCUGCCUCAUUUUUUUUCCUGGUAAAAUAUAGAUAGUUCUCAAAUUUCUUCCUAGUAAAAUAAAAGUAACUGUAGCAAAACAUCAUUCAUGCUGUCAUAUAAAUCUAUGAAACAAGUAAUGCAUGUUAUAUCGAAUGGAUUUAUGCGACCCUAAUUCCAAACACUUUUUAAAAAAUUACUCCGUGACAGGAGAAGAGGCCUCCGUUUGCAGCAGUACUGUUGUGGAGGCGCUGUGCGUCGGGGAGGGAGUUUCAGCCCCAGCGCCUCAUCAGGAAGUCACAGAGCCCUAAGGUGAUUUUUCCAGCCGUCACACUCAGAGCAGUUCCAUCAUCACACUCAGAGCAGUUCCAUCACCACACUCAGAGCAGUUCCGUCACCACACUCAGAGCAGUUCCGUCAUCACACUCAGAGCAGUUCCAUCAUCACACUCAGAGCAGUUCCAUCACCACACUCAGAGCAGUUCCGUCACCACACUCAGAGCAGUUCCAUCAUCACACUCAGAGCAGUUCCAUCAUCACACUCAGAGCAGUUCCAUCACCACACUCAGAGCAGUUCCGUCACCACACUCAGAGCAGUUCCAUCAUCACACUCAGAGCAGUUCCAUCAUCACACUCAGAGCAGUUCCAUCACCACACUCAGAGCAAUUCCGUGUGAGGACAAACUAAUAGCUGAUUUCAACCAGUAGUUACUUAGUAGAUCAGUAUGGAUUUGCUUCAAGAUUUCUAGAUAUCAGAGUUUUGUUUUUUGGUAAAAAUAACUGCUUUUGUCUAAGUACUUGAAUGUGACAGUGAUUUUUUUAGGUAAUAAUUGCAAGGAAACAUUCCUUUUUUAUUAAAAUCAUUUUUUUAGUAUAAAAUGAACAUGUUCAGGGGCUGGCCCCGUGGCCGAGUGGUUAAGUUCGCGCGCUCCGCUGCAGGCGGCCCAGUGUUUCGUUGGUUCGAAUCCUGGGCGCGGACAUGGCACUGCUCAUCAGACCACGCUGAGGCAGCGUCCCACAUGCCACAACUAGAAGAACCCACAACGAAGAAUACACAACCAUGUACUGGGGGGCUUUGGGGAGAAAAAGGAAAAAAUAAAAAAAUCUUUAAAAAAAAAAUGAACAUGUUCAUUGUAGAAACUUCAGAAAACAUAAACUUUAAAAGAUGAAAUCUAAAUAUUACCCAUAAUUCAUUCAGUCAAAAAUCAUGUUUAUGUAUAUGAGGGAUUGUUGUUAUUAUUUCUCAGUCUUGCAAUAACAAGUUAGCCAAAGCACAACUAUUAAUAGAACUUAAGUCUAUUGAACCACUGAGCACAGCACUUCUGGAUUUUCCUUAGCGGAAACUAUUGGUGAUAAUAGGUUAUAGAGAAUGUUCCAGUAAUACUUGCUAUAUUAGUAAAUAUUGAUUAGUGCUGUAGAGAGAGCAACUAUGCCUAAUCAUAUCAACACUUAGCUGAUCACAGUUUAUGACAGAUAAAUUUUUGAUGUCUUAGGAAAAAGCACUGAAGCUAUUUUAUUUGGAAUUAUUUUUAAUGUUUUCUAAUUGCUGACCAAAUGGUAGAGAAAAGAUUGUAAGCUCUUUAGAGGGCAGGAAAAGUGCCAUGCAGGGCCCAGUACAAAUUUGGCAUUCUGUAAAUAUUUGUUGACGACAAAUGCUCUUUAUUCUUAUAUAAUUAUGAUAAUUUCCUCAGAACUUAAUAUAAUUGGCUAUAGGGGAAAAUACGUGGCCAAAAUUUUUAUAAAAUUAUUUUGUACUACUGGUUCAGUAUUCAAUUUUGAUUGAAUAAAUAUAUUAUUAGCAAUAAUAAAGGGUUUGAAAGCUUUUCUUAGUAUAUUUUUAAUCUGAAUUUUUACUAUAAAAAGAUAUAAAAUUACUUUUGACUCGUGUCCUUCAGAAAAACACACUUCUUUAAAUCACACACCGUCAAAGGGAAGGAAUAUGACAACAGCGGGAAAAUAUGGUUGACUUUUUAGACAUCUCAUGAUCAUUUAGUUAAUGAUAACACACAAACGAGAUUGCUAUUUCUGUAUGUUUGAAAGGCCAGCGUGCAAUAAAUGUUGC
This is a long non-coding RNA of Equus caballus (horse), 3150 nucleotides long. Lineage: Eukaryota; Metazoa; Chordata; Mammalia; Perissodactyla; Equidae. The record is from Ensembl.